RNAcentral lists this non-coding RNA (28 nucleotides) under Cricetulus griseus (Chinese hamster). The record is from RNAcentral. Lineage: Eukaryota; Metazoa; Chordata; Mammalia; Rodentia; Cricetidae.
CAUCCGUUAUGAGAUCUGGUGCCCUCUU